CCUACGGGAGGCAGCAGUGAGGGAUAUUGCGCAAUGGGCGAAAGCCUGAGGGAGCAACGCCGCGUGGAGGACGACGGCCUUCGGGUUGUAAACUCCUUUCGGGUGGGACGACCGCGACGGUACCACCAGAAGCAGCCCCGGCUAACUCUGUGCCAGCAGCCGCGGUAAGACAGAGGGGGCAAGCGUUGUCCGGAGUUACUGGGCGUAAAGGGCGCGGAGGCGGUCUGCGGCGUCGGCGCUGAAAGCGCCCCGCUUAACGGGGCGAGGCGUGCCGAUACGCGCAGACUUGAGGCGAGCAGAGGGUGGUGGAAUUCCGGGUGGAGCGGUGAAAUGCGUAGAGAUCCGGAGGAACGCCAGUGGGGAAGCCGGCCACCUGGGCUCGUCCUGACGCUGCGGCGCGACCGCGUGGGGAGCAAACCGGAUUAGAUACCCCUGUAGG
This 439-nucleotide ribosomal RNA is filed under the name uncultured Chloroflexaceae bacterium. Its description in RNAcentral is "partial 16S ribosomal RNA". It matches the Rfam family "Bacterial small subunit ribosomal RNA", at positions 338 to 794 of the family's 1533-position model. The record is from RNAcentral. Lineage: Bacteria; Bacillati; Chloroflexota; Chloroflexia; Chloroflexales; Chloroflexaceae.